GUAUCUAUAGUGGAUGAAGAUGACAUCGCAGCAUAUACAAUCAAAACAAUAGAUGAUCCGCGAACAUUGAACAAAACAUUAUACCUUCGUCCACCCGAAAACGAACUCAGUCAAAAACAAUUGGUUGAGAUGUGGGAAAACCUCAUAGGCAAGAAACUAGAACAUAUCUCCAUUUCAGAAGAAGACUUCCUUGCCUCUAUGAAAGGUACGCAUGAUAUCAUAUGAAAUCUAUUGAAUGCACGAAAGUUAUAUGGUUUAACCUCGCCAAUCAAUCAGCUCCUUGAAUGGAUUUCAUUGAUCAGCACAUUAAAAUUCCUAGGUUAUUUUUGCGCAGAUCGAUCAGACUCUGACUCAUUACUCAGAUUUUAAAUUUUAACUCUUGACUUGUGGUGCCUAAAAUCCAAGAACCUGAACCUAAUACAAGCUCUAAGCAGAAAUUUCACACCUUAUGAAAUACUAUAUUUCAGGUAUGGACUAUGCAGGCCAGGUAGGAGCGGGGCAUUUCUACCACAUGUUCUACGAAGGCGCUCUGACAAACUUUGAAAUCGGGGAAGAAGGAGAAGAAGCUUCAAAGCUUUACCCAGAAGUGAAAUACACCCGCAUGAAUGAAUACAUAAAAAUUUAUGCAUGAGAAACAAAACAAGGUGUUUAAUAAUAGUUUCUCAAAGAAUACAUUUAUCUUGUGAUCACUUUAAUGGAGGAUAUUACAGCUUUCCUGCAGCUAUUUUGUGUAUGUAAUACAGCAUAUUAAACACUUAUUAUCUAUUGUUAUAAAUGGCCGAUUAGUGACAUUAUAUUUUAUACACAAGCUUUGACAUAAUUUUUGGGUGAAUAAUGAUUUUAAAUCUAAGAUGGGAUCUAUCAUCACUACUACAAAAAACCCUUUGUGCGACGAAAUAAGUUUGUUGCACAAAGUACAAUUUUGUCGCACAAAUAUUUGCACGACAAAAUAUUUUUUGUGUUUUAAAAUUUUUUAAUUAAAAAUAAACUAAUUUAAUAGUUUGCGCGACGAAAUAUUUUGUCGCGCAAGGUUUUUGACUUUUUGUUUUAUUAUUUCUCUUAUAUUAAUUUAAUUAUAUUAAUUUAUUCAAAUUUUUACUUUUUAAAUUUAAUUUAAUUGUAUAUAUAUUUUUUUAAUUACUUUAAUUUAAAUUUACGUAUUCAAAAUAAAAUUACAUAUGAAAAAUAGUGAUCAAAUUACCCAAUAAAUAUAUAUAAUAUUCAAAAUGUACGCAUAAAUUAACAAAGUACAAUAAUAAAAUCUUAAUACAAGCCUAUUGUGGUGGUAGUGGCGAAUGAUAUGUUUCGAUAGUGUCCUAAUCCUCAACUUUAACCGUCAAAGUCUCGACGAUUCCCUACAAAAAAAAAAAAAUGGUCAAAUAACAAAAAUUGGCAUAAUCUCCCCUGAGAUUGUUAUACCCCAAAUCCAACCCAAACUCCAAUCCUCACCCUAUACUCAACCCCAAACCCCACACAAACUCAAAACUAACUCCAAAAACACAUUAAUGAAAAAAAUUUUAAAUUUAGAGAGAAUAUACCUUUUGGCAAGAUUGAGAGUGAGUGAGAAUGAGAGGGAGAAGUGAGUGUGAGAGAAUUAGAGAAGAUAGUGAGAGAGAGAGAGAGAGAGAGAGAUGAGAGAGUGAGUGAGAGUGAGAACUAGUGAAAAGAGAGAUGGGAGAGUGAGUGAGAGUGAUAGAUAGUGAUGAGAGAGAUGAGAGAUUAAGUGAGAGGAGUGAGUGUGAGAGAAAGGGUCGGAUUUGGGGAGAGGGAAAGAGAGAGGAGAGGUAAGACCAGAGAAAGACAUUGAGAAAGUGGUGGAGGAGUUAUUUUAGUAUUAAAAACCGUAUCACUUUGCACAACGAAAUCUUGGUCAUGCAAAGUCCUGAAAAAAAUUCCCGCGUCCCAUUUUUGGUGCCCACCCAAAUUUUUAGAGUUUUGCGCGACGAGUUGUUGGUCACACAAAGUUUUGCGAGACCAAAAAAUUCCCGCGUCCCUUUUAAGAUACCCACCCAAAUGCAAAUUUUGAGAGACGAAAAAUUGGUUCGUAGCGCAAUAUUUAUAAAAAUAAUUGCUAUGAAUAAUAAAAAAUAAAAUAAUUUUAUUUUACGAUUUAAAAUAUAACUAAGGUUAAGGCGACCAAAUGUGUUUUCGUUGCGCAAAAAAAAUAAUAAAAAAUAAAGAAAUAAUUUAGUUUAACAAUAUAAAAUAUAAAAAGAAGUAAAUAAGGAUUAGGCGAUGAAAUAUUGAUAUUCGUCAAGCAAAGUUUUCAAAAAAUAAUAAAAACUUAUGAAAACAACUAUAUCUUAAAAUUUAUAAUGUAUAAUUAAAUAAAAAAAAUUAAUUGGUUUGCCCGACGCAUGUUUACAUUAUGACGUCUUGCUAUUGGUUUUUGCACGACGACCCCAUUGUUAUAUUAAAAAAUAAAUAAAUUUAAAGUUACUUAAUAAAUAUAUAUAUAUAUAUAUAUGCACACCAUUCAACGAUCCAACUGUCAAACUUGUUUGUAUAUACUUCGAGAUCGCAUACCCCAAAAAUCGCAAAAAACAAACAUUCAGAGAUCUAGUAACGGGACAAAACUUUUCGACGGUUAUAAAUGAAAAAUCACGAUUUAACGGUUAUUUUAACUCCGAUUUUGAUGAUUUUUUACAACUACACUCCUUGACCCUGUAUGAAUACAAUGACAGAAUUUGAUCUUCAAUUUAAAAUAUUUACACUAGCGGAUACCACAAAUCUUAUGUCAUAUUUAAUGAAAGUAUAAAUAAACUCUUAAUUGUUAGUGAAUAUAUUGUUUUGAUGGCAUAUACAUUCUACGAAACUAGUUUCAACGAUAAAACCGUCAAACUUGUUUGUUUAUACUUCGAGAGCAUAUAGCCAAAAAUCGAAAAAAAUAAACAUCCAGAGAUCAAGUAACGGGACAACUUUUCAACGGUUAUAAAUGAAAAUUCAUGAUUUAAUGGUUAUUUUAACUCCGAUUUUGAUGAUUUUUUACAGCUACACUCCUUCACCCUAUAUGAAUACAAUGACUGAAUUUGAUCUUCAAUUUAAAAUAUUUACACUAGUGGAUAGCACAAAAUCUUAUGUUAUAUUUAACGAAAUUAUAAAUAAACUUUUAAUUGUUAGUGAAUAUAUUGUUCUAAUGGCAUAUGCAUUCAACAAAACUAGUUUCAAUGAUCCAACCGUCAAACUUGUUUGUUUAUAAUUCGAGAUCAUAUACGCCAAAAAUCGGAAAAAAUAAACAUUCAGAGAUCAAGUAAUGGGACAAAACUUUUCUACGGUUAUAAUGAAAAAUCACGAUUUAACGGUUAUUUUAACUCCGAUUUUGAUGAUUUUUUACAGCUACACUCCUUGACCCUAUAUGAAUACAAUGAAUAAAUUCGAUCGUCAAUUUAAAAUAUAUAUUUUCUAACAAAAACCCAAUGCGAACAACAAUAAUAUAUUUUUCUAACAAAAAUCUGACCCGAUCUAAAAUAAUAAAUUUAAAGCUACUUAAUAAAUACAUAUACCUUUUAAUUUCUUAAGUGUUAUGCAUACAAAAUAGAAAAUAAAAAAAAAUGGUUUAGGCGACGAAAUGUUUGGAUUACGUCAGGCAAAGAUUUUAAAAAAUAAUUUUUUUUUUAUUAGGACUUUGUGCGACGAAGUUUAUUGUUUUGUCGCGCAAAGUCACUUUGAGCGACGAUGUAUUGGCGUCGCGCAAAGUUUUCAUCGUGCAAAAUUUAGUUGCGCAAGACUUUGAGCGACGAUUUAUUAUUGUCGUGCAAAAGUUUGUCGCGCGAAGUGACUUUGCACGACGAAUAGUUUUUCGUCGCAAAACAUUUGGUCGCGCAAGACUUUGAGCGACGAAGUUUUGAGUUUCGUCGCGCAAAGUGACUUUGAGCCACGAAUAGUUUUUCAUGGCGCAAAAUUUGAUCGUGCAAGGGGUUUUUUUUUUUAAUAGUGAAGUCUUCAAUAUGAAAAGAAACAAAGUGAGUCCUAUAUAUUAUUUGAUACUAAACUUAUGAAUUUAAUUUACCACGGUUCAAAACUUGGGUACAAAGGCUCAUUGUCCUUGUUAAUUCCCCCAACUCAGUAUGAUACAAAUACACUGUAUUUCUUACUCUCUUUGUUUCCCUGGCCUUUUCUGUGCAGCAUUUCUUGCCAUCAAAGGUCGGUUUAGAUCCAACACGUAUGGGACAUGCACUUGAACCUGGAAGAGUUACAUUUGAUGAGAAAAUGAUAGUGAGAAAGGCAAUACAAGAUGCUAAACUCCCUUUCACUUAUGUAUGUGGUGCCUCCUUCGCCAGCUAUUUUGCCGGCAACCUUUCUCAGAUGGGAACACUCUUCCCUCCAAAGGAAAAAGGUGCUUAUUUAUGGAGAUGGUAACGUUAAAGGCAAAAGUUAAUAAAUUAAGUUUUUACCACUAUAGGCAUUCAUAUAUCGAAAAUGUUUAGCAAUGGAUUUUUAGCUCAAGUAGUUAAGAGCAUUCAACCCUGCAUCUGACAAGAAUACACCAAAGCUCCAAAAAAGAUAGAUAGAACCCACAAAGAACACCAGCGCUAUCAACCUCCAACAACGAUUGGCCCUGAGAAUAGAGAAGUCUGCAGGGAGCAACACAAGAGAAGAGACAAAAGACAACGAGCAAGCCAGGAAAAAAAGAAAACAAAAAGUCCUCAAAGACACGCUGUAUCAUCCCAACUCUGACAAGGAAACCUCCUAUGAAUCCAUAGUCCUUAAGACAAGCGAAGAAUCAAAGGUCUGUUGAGAGAAGAACUGAGAAAUACAACACAACAAUAACAAAACUAGCAUCAGCCACUUAACCACAAGAAGACGGCUGUUGGACUCAAGAAGAAACCCUAGAUGUGACGCACGACUCCCCCCUCGCAUAACAAGAGAGUGACCCCUGGUGUCCAACAUACGAUUUAUAACUUUUAGUUUUAGGUUUUGCCUUUCCAGUGGUAUUUUUGGCUAUAGAACCUGAUACAUAUGUAUUAUGUCUAUGCUUAAUACAAAACCUUGAACUCAACUUGGUCAGAAAAUUUAUGCAAAUUAUAAUCAAAUCGAAAACAUGCAGAUUGAGUGUCUAAUAUGCUUGCUUACACGUAUUACGAGCUUAGCAUCUUGAUCAUAUUAACAAGUGCGUUUUGGUUCUAAAACAUGCCACCUAAGCUCUGAUAUCACACGUAAACUCUACAUACUGCAUAUAAAAGAGCAACUAACCUUGGUAUGCUGCCAUUUUGACUAUUUAAACACUAUUCUGGUUACUUUAAUUUCUAUUCUGGCUACUUGGACCGCAGUUGUGGAUGUUCAAAUGAGUAUUAAGAAUAAGAACAAGUGCUCUUAUCCACUUAAUUUGAUGUUUAACUCACUUAUUCUAGAUGGGGUAUGAAUGUUUUUGUGAUGGUGUGAUCGAAUGAGAAUGAGCACUUGUAUUUAUAGGCAUCAGUUGGGAGUCUUGCCCAUCAAGAAAUUCUUAAGCCUUUCCUUAUCGCUCUAGGUUUAAAACUUCUAAUCCACAAUGAAGUAGGAAUCCUUUUGUCUCUAUGUGUGAACCUUAAACACUAACUUCAAAAGAGAUGUCAGAUUAGUUUUAGUUAAAUUCCUAAUCCAUACCAAGUCUUAGAUCCCUAUCAUGAUUAGAAGGCAACAAUUAUUAAGUGGUUCAAGGAUGUCACUAGUGGCUAUGUCAACUGAGACACAGGUGGUGGCGAUUCAUAAUAUUUUUGUAUCAUGUUUUGCCUAAACCUCUAUGAAAUAUGUGUAGUAAUCUUUAAUCUUUCACGAAUUAGUUUAAACUUAAGACACAAAAAAUACAAGAUAAAGAAAAUAUGAGGAGAGAGAGUGGGGAAGGAUAUUAUCAAGGGAACAUGCUUAAAUUGUAAAAAUUUCUUCUUCUUUUUUUAGAUAUUUGUUUCAAAAAUUCUAAUAUAUAUGUAGAUAAAAAAAAUAUUCAAAAUAAAAAUAGGAGAAUAUAAAAAAAAACACUAGAAAGACAUUUGAAAAAGUGAUAUGGAUAACAUGGUGACAAUGCAACACAAAUGACAGAACAACAGCUCAUACAUACAUACAAUACAAGAGACACGUGUACUCCUCAACGAAUGAGUUUCAAAUUUCCAUAUAAAUAUGAACAUUGUGGCACUCGGAAUUCUUAAUAUUGUACGGUUAUGGAAAUCUCAUUAAUCUUAUCUAAAUGUUUAUUUCAACUAAGUUAAUUAUUUGCCAUUUCUUACUCUGCAUUCUUCUCUUAUGCUUUGACAAGAAGGAAAAAAAAAAGCAUUUGGUUUCAUUUCCUUAAAUGAGUGAGCUUACUAUGAAUUGAAAGUCAUAGUAAGCUCAGGCACAAAACCAUUCAUUGGAUGCCAAGCUCACGAAUGCUUUAAUGACACAUUAAGGAAGGCUCCUAGGAGACCCCACUAGACUGGUCUCCAUAAGUUUGUCAGAAUAGGCAUCAGUUCAAAGGCACUUAGGAACCAUGAAGUCUACCCCAUAAACCAUGGUAUCACUACCAGAAACAGGUGCAAUCGAAUAAGGACAACCAGGAACUAACGUAGACAUGGCAGCGACUAGAGGAGAUGAGGCCCAAAACGCAAGGAAAACGAGGCACCGAAUAGCAAGGGAGGGAAAUCUGAGAGCGAUCGAACCAGCCCCCAAAAUUGGGAAGAGGCACAGCGACGACAGACUGGAGAGAGAACGUGGACGAGGGUGGACUGAGAAGAGGAAGGCAAUAAGGCAGGACUACAAGAGAGCAAUGACAUAGACUAAACGUGCGACUGGGCAAGAGAGAAAUAGCGACGACAACUGAGCACGAGAAAACGGCUGUUGGACGCAAAAACAAACCCUAGAUGUGACACACGACUCUCCUCGCAUAACAAGAGAGCGACCCCUGGUGUCCAACAUAUACAAUUUAUAACUUUUAGUUUUAGGUUUUGCCUUUCUGGUGGUAUUUUUGGCUUUAGAACUUGAUACAUUUAUGUCUAUGCUUAAUACAAAACCUUGAACUCAACUUGGUCAGAAAAGUUAUGCAAAUUAUAAUCAAAUUGAAAACAUGCACAUUGAGUAUCUAAUGUGCUUGCUGACACAUAUUAAGAGCUUGGCAUCUUGAUCAUGUGAACAAGUGCGUUUUGGUUCUAAAACAUGCAGCCUAAGCUCUAAUAUCACAUGUAAACUCUGCAUACUGCAUAUAAAAGAGCAACUAACCUUGGUAUGCUACUAUUAUGACUGUUUAAACACUAUUCUGGCUACUUGGACUGCAGUUAUGGAUGUUCAAAUGAGUAUUAAGAAUAAGAACAAGUGCUAUUAUCCACUUAAUUUGAUGUUUAACUCACUUAUUCUAGAUGGGGUAUGAAUGUUUUUAUGGUAGUGUGAUCGAAUGAGAAAUGAGCACUUGUAUUUAUAGGCAUCAGCUGAGAGUCUUACGCAUCAAGAAACUCUUAAGCCUUUCCUUAUCGCUCUAGGUUUAGAACUUCUAAUCCACAAUGAAUAGGAUCCUUAUGUCUGUGUGAACCUUAAACACUAACUUUAAAAGAGAUAUCGGAUUAGUUUUAGUUGAAUUGAAUACCAAGUCUUAGAUCCCUAUUUUGAUUAGAAGACAACAAUUAAGUGGUUCAAGGAUGGGUCACUAGUGGCUAUGUCAACUAAGACACAGGUGAUGGCGAUUCAUAAUGUUUCUGUAUCAUGUUUUGCCUAUACCUCUAUGAAAUAUGUGUAGUAAUCUUUAAAUCUUUCACGAAUUAGUUUAAAAUGAAGACACAAAAAGUACAAGAUAAAGAAAAAUACGAGGAGAAAGAGUGGGGAAGGUUAUUAUCAAGGGAACAUGCUUAAAUUGUAAUAAUUUCUCCUUCUUUUUUUAGGUAUUUGUUUCAAAAACUCUAAUAUAUAUGUAGAUAAAAAAAAUUUUCAAAAGAAAAAAUAGGAGAAUAUAAAAGAACACUAGAAAGACAUUUGAGAAAGUGAUAUCGAUAACAUGGUGACAAUGCAACACAAAUGACAGAACAACAGGUCAUACGUAUGUACAAUACAAGAAACACAUGUACUCCUCAACGAAUGAGUUUCAAAUUUCCAUAUAAAUAUGAACAUUGUGGCACUCGGAAUUCUUAAUAAUGUACGGUUAUGGAAAUAUCAUCAAUCUUAUCUAAACGUUUAUUUCAACAAAAUUAAUUAUUUGCCAUUUUUUACUAUGCAUUCUUCUUGGGGGCGGAUCCACAGAGAAGCAAGGGUGGUCAAUUGACCCCUGCAACCUCUGAAAUCCUCCAUUAGAGCAGCCAAACUUGACCCUCGCAAAGUGUUCGACCAAAUGCCCCAAAAGGGCAACCUGUGUGCAGCUGGAUGGGGCUAUAAGUACUAGUGCUGGGUUUUCGAGGCUGAGAGAUGGAGAGGAGGGAUGAGAAGGAAGAAGAAGAAGAGUGUCUCAUUUGGUGGUGAUGGUGGAAAGCAGCAGCUGCUGCUUCUGGCUGGAGGUCGUGAGGGUAAACUGGCAUCAACAAAAAAAAAAAAAAAAAUUGAAACUGACAUACAUUACUAUCGACAAAAGAAGGAAAGAGAAGGUCAAAAAUUUUUAAAAAAUGGCAUAAUUAAAUAGGUAGGUCCAAAUAAUUAAUUCGUAUAGGGCUAGUUUGUAUGUUUUUUGGAUUAUUUGGUUGAUGAUUAUCAGCGGCAUCUAUCACAAGUGUGGGGUAUCGCUUCAUUGCGAAAUCUCGUGUGGUGCAAGUACUGAGAACUCAGUUGAUGACAGAGCGGAAUUUGGUUGAUGAUUAUCAGCAUGACAUCAAAAGAUUGAAAAGGUAUAAGGCAAGACGGCAAAGGAGAACCGAUGCCAACUUCAAAUAUUGCAGGAAGAGAAUGAAAAGCUAUCAAAAAGAUGGUAAAUUUUUAUUCUAAAAACUUGCAAAAGCAGCUGGAGGCCUUGGAGAACCCAAAGAAGCACAAGGGAGAUCACGAGAGGAGUUCAAGAGAGAGAAGUGUGUGAUCUUUGAAGGCUCAAGUGAUGAGCCCUAAGAAGCAAUGCGUGAAAACCCAAGGGAGGAUAUCAAGAGGGCCAAAUUAAAGUCUCUAUUAUGGAAAAAUAAAGCUUUGAUUUUUUUUACUUUAGAAGUGAAUGGUGUGGUUGAUUAUUGUUGUUAUUGUUGUAGCCCAUCUCUAAAUUAUUGUUUCUUCUCAUCAUCAAUUUAUCCAACACCACUUUCAUUACUUUUGUAUUCAAUAUCAUUUUUUUUACGUUGAGUGCAACACCUUUCUCUUUUGCUGGUUUUACUCUAUUUCUUCUUCAUCUUUAUUUGUUUGGUUGCCACACUUCAACGAGCAUGUGCUUGUAAUUGCUUGCUAGUGGCUGGCCAUACUUCUUGCUUUAUUUCAUCUUUUAAUCUCUUUAUCUUUUUUUUUUUUUUUUUGGUGCCAAUCUCACCAAUGACCUACUAAGAGAAAGUAGUUAUUUAAUUUCCAAAACUUUUAUUAGCAUAAUGCCUAAACUUAUAAAAAUCAAACUUUAGCCUAAAGAGCUUAAAAUAAAAUGAACUCAUGCACUAACAAAUAUAUAUUCAAGGAUAGAACAUUGUGGCACUCGGAAUUCUUAAUAUUGUACUGUGAUGGAAAUAUCAUCAAUAUUAUCUAAACGUUUAUUUCAAUAAAAUUAAUUAUUUGCCAUUUCUUACUCUGCAUUCUUCUCUUAUGCUUUGACAGGAAGGAAAAAAAAAAAAAAGCAUUUGGUAUCAUUUCCUUAAAUGGGUGAGCUUACUAUGAAUUGGGUGUUUGUAUUUGCAAGAUAUUGGAGAAAUGAAUAAUAUCCAUGCAUAUAUACCCCAAAACAUUACAACCAUAGGCUAUUAUGAUCCACACCCUAAAAAAUGCAGGCAAGGGACAACUCACGCCAAGAGACAAACAGAAAUAUGGACUACGGUGUACAUACAUAGGGUGCUCAACAAUUGGCGUCAGUAAGGGUUAGGGGAAGUCUGGUGCAAUUAACUUAACUUUUUUUUUUUUUUUUGGUAAUACGUUUUUAAUUAUUUUUAGUUAUAAUUAAUUGAUGGAAAUGUCCGGAAACUUUAACAAAGUUAUUAGACGUAAGUGGUGGAUUGCAACACUUUAUAUAGUUCAGGUGGUCAAAAAUAAAUAUUAUUAAAAGAUCAGGUGGUAAUGACACACAUGCAAGGGCGGUUCUAUGCACAUGGCAGGUUGGGUGCUCACCCAGCCCAAAUUUUUAUUUUUAUUUAUAAAAAAACACCUAUAUAUGUUAUAAGUCCAGUUCAAAAUUAAAAAAAAUUAAAAGCAAACCCUACACACAUGUUGCCCAUCCAGGUGGUCUCAUAUCUUCUCUUUCUUUCCCUUUGGGCUAUGCGACAUCUACUUGUUUCUCUCCCUCUUAGCUAUACCCGACAUCAGCAACUUCUUUCUCCCUUUAUUUUCUAUAUAUCUUUAAUUAUAUUUUUAAUUUAAAGUUGAGUAUUGUAGAGUUUAUUUAACGAUGAAUGACGGUUUGCCAAUGCAUCAAUAAUUGAGAAAUUUACGAGUUCUAAGCCUCGCAUGGUUAAAUUUUAGAUUUAAAAUAGUUUUAUUUUAUUUUGUAUUGCAUUUUUACUUUUGAUUUUAGUUAUAGUUUUUAUAUUUGUUGAAUUUUUAUUUAUGGAUAGAUAUGCAUUUGAGGGUAAGGCUCAUUACGUCAUCUCUGACUGUUUAUUAAUGAAAUUCACUCGUACCGUCGAAUUUAGUAUAUAAGUUUUGCCCAACUAGCUUUCGAAUCUUAAAACUACUAAAGUUCAUAUGGUAUUUAUUGUUGUGUUCCUUCCAAGUGCCAAUAUAUGGUAAGUAUAAUGGUACAAGUAAGGGUGUCGAACCACAGGGACCGAUUGGACCUCUAUAAAUUACUAGUUUUGAAAUAACCCUAACUAAAAAUGAAAGUGACAAUUUGAAAGUAGUUUUUGUGUUGUAAAUGAAAAAUAACUUCCAAUGCAAAAAGAAUAUAAUAGUGAAUAAUAUAUUGAUGUAGAAAGAAUAGGGAAGAGACCAGGGAUUUCGAAUUCACCAUUGCAAAACGAAUUCCAUAUUGUUUAUAAAAUUAAACCUACUCACCUACCAACCUGUUUCCAGAGUUCGUUUUACAUAUAUAUGAUCAGCCAUAUGAUGUGUGGUUUUGAUCAAAUUCUCCUAAUCUGCAACCUAGUUGGGAUGUUCAACUUUGGUUCCAAGUUAAGAGUCAUUAGCAUGCAAGAAAACGUUAAAGAACCAAAGAAAACACACAACAUGAUGUUUGCAUAGCAUUCUCUUCAUUCAUUCACAUGUCUAACAAGAUUAAGCAUGAUGUUUACUAUAACCUUGUCUAGAUAAUCUGUAGGCGACUCUAAUGGUGAUCAAACAUUAAAAUUGACAAACAAAUUGAACAAUAGAUUCAGUGAAUGAAACAAGAAACAGAUUGAUGAACUGAAUACUUUAAUUUAGAAACAUGGAUCAAUGUUGCAAGGCUACAUCGAAAUCCCUAGCUAUGAAUUUAGUUACACAUCAUGUUCAAAGAGAUUAAAACAAAAAUAAACAACAUGAGUGAAAAUGAAUUCAUGAGAGGAAACCCUUGAACCAAUUCUGAUGUUGAACUUCUCCAAGAACCACCUCUUGCGCUGAGUCCUGAUGGUGGAAAUAUAUGGACGGCUAGGGUUUUAGUGUGCAUGAAAGAAGAGAAUAACCAAGAAGUCACAUCCAGGGUUGUGAAAUUCGUCCAAAAUAAAUAGGGGUUUUAGAAGUGGCUAAAAGGCAAGUUUUUAUGGGGUAAACAAGGCUGCAAGAUGUUCCAAAGAUAUCCUAAUGAAUCAGCCUUUAUUUUGCACGUUUUUGCCUUAUUUGGCACCUCCAAAUCAGGCUAGAAAUCCCCAUUGCUUUCCCAUUCCGUUCUUAGUCUUCAAACAAGCCAGGUUCGCCUUGCAUUCUUUAUUUGGACUUCAAAACAGGUCACGAAACUUGUUUCCACGUUUGAAUAAGGGUCAGCUCCAAAAAUGGCAUGUUUUCAUUUCUUUUGCCUUCAACUUGAUCCUAAAGUAUAUGCAACUGCAUACUAACACAAAAUAGGAUAAAACGCAACAAGUUUAACUCAAAAACAUCACAAAUAUACUAGAAAUAGAUGGUAUAAAUGUAUAAAUAUAUGAGUUAUCAUUUAUGCAAAUUGCCAAAAAAAUUUUAUUUGGACCCAUUCAUUUAUUUGUUGGGAAAAUAUCUAUCGAGAGUACUUCUUCCCAAACAUGUCUUAAUGAUUCUUUCUUUCUUCCUUCUUUUUUUUUUUUUUUCCCCUUUUUGCUUUUUUUUGUUUUUUUGUUUUUUUUGGUGUUUAAUGCAUACCAAGCUUUGCGAUGACAUUACGUAAAAAAUUGGUCAUAUAUAUUUUUUAUAAGAAAAUUGUCGCCUUCGUGGAGUGGGAUUUGACUUGGUCAUCAUUAGGUUAGGCAAGCUUUGCUGGUGCAAUGUCAUGGUUCGACAUUUUUCUGAACACGUGGAAUAUUGUAGUCCAUCGAGACCUGGAAUCAUGAAAAAACUAAAACAAACAACAGUCACUUUUUUCCUUAACACGUGGAAUAUUAUAGUCCUAAACCCUAAACUCUAAACUCUCUCUCUAUAUAUAUAUAGAGCUUUUAUUGAGGGAUCUCUCAAAUUAGCUUAUUUGAGGGAUACCAUUGUAGGACCCACUCUGUAUUGUAUUUCACUAAUUCAAAUCGUCUCUUUUGUGGAUACUCAUUCAAAGAUCAUCUCUACAAAAAAAUCACUUGAAUCUGAUAUCAUUUGACCACUCAAUUGAAUUAUUGAAAUUUUAGUACUUUCUUGAAGCACCAUGUUCAUUGAUUUUGUAGGACAUAAUUGGAUAUCGAAACAGUUUCCGAUUUGUCUAAUUUCUUUUCAAGGAUGAUCUAUGAAUAUAGACUUAAAAAAUAGAUGGUUUCGAUCGUUGAAAAAAAAUUCAUAGGGAACCCUAAAGGGUGUCCCUCAAAUAUAAUUAUUUGAGGGAUCCCUCAAUAGAAGGGGACUGUAUAUAUAUAUAUAUAUAUAUGUCAUCCUUCCAUAAAAGUUGAAACUUUUAACCAAAUAAUUCAAACCAAGAAACUUAAGAACAAGUAACCAAAAGAAAAAAAUUCCAGACACAAUCCAGCUACAAAUGUAGGAAACAAACAAAUGUUCUUCAAACACUAAACCAAAGACAAAGACAACAGGAUCUAGGCCAAUAUCAUUUGAACACAUGAAGGUUCAGACUGACGGCGUUGACAUCGUCGUUGGUUGGUUUCAACGUGGCUGUCAAAGAGACAAUCAGAUCUGUGUGAACAAUGUCGGCGUCGGUUGGGCUUCACAUAUAAAAACUCUAAUCUGAAAAUGAUUUCAAUAGAAGGUUGAGAGAUGGAAGCUUUCCAAUUGAGUCUCACAAAUAAAACCAAAAAUCAUUCCUGAAAUUAAACCCACAUGAAAACUUCAAAAAACAAAACCUUUACCUUUCUAUCUAAAGGGAGAUGCGGUUCAGAUCUGAAAUUAAACCCUACAAUGAAAUAGUAGCCCACAAAAAGGAUAAGGCCAAACAACAAAUCGUCUUCGAGGGAGAGCGGGAAGAAGGAGAAGAAGGAAGAGAGAGGGAUGGAAAAAACAAAACAAAAAGAGAGAGAUAUGGGAGACGUGCAAAAGAGGAAGAAGGAAAAAAUUGCAGCGUGACAGAGGAAGAAGCAGGAGAGAGAGAGAGAGAGAGAGAGAGAGAGAAAAGAAGAAGAAGAAGAAGGGAAAAAAAAAAAAAAAAGAGGAAGAGAUGGAAAGUGACGGAAGGAAGAAGAUGGGAAAAAUAUAAAAAAAUGAAGGUAUUAGGAGAGAUGAGAUAUGGGGAGAAUAAAAAUUACAAAAGAAAGAAAAAGAGGGGUUGGUUUGGGAGCAUCUUUAGAUGCACAUGCAUGCUCUCACAUUUUUUAUUAUAAUAUUUAUUAUUUAGAGUAACUAUUACUAAUUAUAUAGAGAAAAGGGAAAAGAGUCUUGGUCAGUGAGAAAGAUUCCAUCCAUAUAUUUUUAUUAAAUUACCAUUGUGAAGUAUUGUAGUCCAUGUAGUCCGUUGAUUCGACAUUUUUGUCCAUGUUUUUCUUCUUGUGUCUAUCGCUAUACAUACAAAAGUAAAACCCUAGGUAUAUAUAUACACAUUCAGAGGGAAAAGUGGUACAAUUAGAUCGACAUGGAAAAGAGCAAGGUGCUUGUGGUUGGUGGUACUGGGUACCUGGGGCGUAGGAUUGUUUCUGCAAGCCUAUCCCAAGGCCACCCAACGUAUGUUCUUCAAAGGCCAGAGAUUGGCCUUGACAUUGAUAAGCUCCAAAUGCUCUUGGCAUUCAAGAAGCAAGGGGCUCACCUUGUGGAGGGCUCAUUUUCUGAUCUGGAAAGCCUUGUCCGUGCUGUCAAGCUUGUUGAUGUUGUCAUCUGCCCCAUAUCUGGGGUACAUAUUCGGAGUCACAACAUUUUGCUGCAGCUCCAACUUGUUGAAGCUAUCAAAAGAGCCGGAAAUAUUAAGGUACAAACACUACUAGAAAAGCUUCAUAUAAUUCAUGGAUACACUCGUGUCGUGGCCAGUGCUAGUGUCAUUCACAGACAACCUAUGGCCAAAGAUCCUAUUUGUAUUAGAUAUAUACAUGAAUUAAGCAAGGAUGGUGCUCAUUUGCUCUAUGUGCAUUUUGUUUCUCAAAAGGUUUUUAUUCUCAUGUUAUUCUACGGGUUUUGUUUAUUGUGCACUUAUAUUAUAACACAUGGAUUAGUAACACUACGUGACAUAAAAUUUCUUAGGAAUGUAACAAGUGGUGUUACUAAUUAACUCAAGUGUUAGUUGGAUGACAUGGUUGAUAUUUCAUGAACUUAGAAUACAACAUUAAUUAAUAGAUAUACGAAUUCUGAGAGGAUUGGUAGUACCACAUAACAAUGGGAUGGUCACACUACAACAUUUAUUUACAUAACGGUGCUACAAUCACAUCAAAAAAGGUUAAAAUAAUCUAGUAUUCAUUUCCUCCGUAUAGGUCCUUCCUUAUGAAGGAGCACCUUUUUCGUAAUUAUUGAUCAUGUUAGGUGGCAUAUGUACAAUUAAUAUGAAUGAUUUAUCUUCUUUUUUUUGUUUUAUAUAAAUGCAAUUGAUAGUCUAAACUAUAAAGGAAUGAGGUUUUUCACACACACACUAUCAACGUGUAUGGUGGUUUGAACUUGAAAUCACAAGUGUUCAAGUUAAGGCCCUUUAUCAUUGGGCUAGACCGCAUUGACGAUUUAGUUUAAUUAUAUUUUUUUUUGUCACAAUGAUUUAGCUUAAUUAUUAGUGUUUAACUUUUUCAUUAAUUGGGAUGUACUUCAAUAUUCGAAAUUACAAUUGAUAUUAGGGUACCGAUUUUCCCAUUUUCUUUUUAUUCAUUUAUACUCCCUUUUAUUUUUAAAUACUUUUACCAUAACAAAAAAGGGAGUGUAGGUGGACAAAAUAAUAGUGGGAACUUACAAUUUCCAACAAAGGAAGUAUAAGUGAACAAAAGAGGAGUAUGAAAGCUCCCUUGAUAUUAUAAUAGAAGAUUGCUAUAUAUAAUAAGAGCGUACGACUUUAAAUACCUCAUGUUGAUGCUCAAAAUGGCCCGGCCAAUAUUGAGUCCAACUUAGUGAUUAGGUAUGCAGGGUCUUCAGCAGGGAAGAGAGCUGAGGCCCUUGGUGAAAUAUAGGUUGAUGGGAAACCUGCAGAAGACAAAGUGGGAGAAGCAAUCGUUAAGCUUCGGACACCGGUGUGGUGCCGGCCGAAGGCUCUCCGAUUCCUAAGUCAGUUACAAGUAGUAAUUCUGGCAGAAUAACAGUAAAAAUGGGAGAAUAGUUGUCCUUUUUACCUGGGUACUGUUCCCUAUUUAUAGGGAAGUGAAAGUGGGAACUUUGCACAAAGUUCCAAUGUGAGACUUUGUGCAAGUCGUUGUGGUGGCGACACGUGUCCUGGAGAUUAGGUUUGGCAGCUGGGAGCUUCGGCAGGUGUCUGGCACCUCGGAAGUGUGUCUUCCUUCGGCAAGGGAGAAGGCGUGGCUGCCUUGGUGCUAGUCGCUUUGAUGCUGGGUCUGCUCGGUUCAUUAUGGUGUAAACACCUCAUCCAAUUUAUGAUGAGGAAGAGAAUGUUUUAUAUAGGACUGAGACUUGUCUUUUCCAUCUGAAUGAGACUUGUGAAUAAUCUUUUUGAUGUUUUUGGUCCUAACUCGUGAUCAAAUUAACAUACUGAUUUUUUUUCAUGCCCUGGCUUUUCUGUGUAGCGUUUUUUACCUUCAGAGUUUGGUCUAGAUCCACCACGUAUGGGACAUGCACUUGAACCUGGAAGAGUUACAUUUGAUGAUAAAAUGGUAGUGAGAAAGGCAAUACAAGAUGCUAAAAUCCCCUUCACUUAUGUAUGUGGUGCCGGCGUCGCUGGUUAUUUCGCUGGCAACCUUUCACAGAUGGGGACACUCAUUCCUCCAAAGGAGAAAGUUCUUAUUUAUGGAGAUGGUAACGCGAAAGGUACACCAAAACUAAUAAAUUAAAUUAAACACCACUGUUCACCUCCAUAAUUUACUUUAUGCAGGCUAAUAGUAUAUAGAUACUUUGGUUUAUGUAUAUAUGACAUAGAAUUAAUCAUCUUCAUGUACCGUGCAGUAUCUAUAGUGGAUGAAGAUAACAUCGCAGCAUAUACAAUCAAAACAAUAGAUGAUCCGCGAACAUUGAACAAAACAUUAUACCUUCGUCCACCCGAAAACGAACUCAGUCAAAAACAAUUGGUCGAGAUGUGGGAGAACCUCAUAGGCAAGAAACUAGAACAUAUCUCCAUUUCAGAAGAAGACUUCCUUGCCUCUAUGAAAGGUA
RNAcentral lists this long non-coding RNA (16791 nucleotides) under Prunus persica (peach). RNAcentral describes it as "long non-coding RNA (PPER_LNC005076)". The record is from RNAcentral. Lineage: Eukaryota; Viridiplantae; Streptophyta; Magnoliopsida; Rosales; Rosaceae.